This 382-nucleotide ribosomal RNA is filed under the name uncultured eukaryote. RNAcentral's name for it is "partial 18S ribosomal RNA". It matches the Rfam family "Eukaryotic small subunit ribosomal RNA", at positions 592 to 976 of the family's 1831-position model. The record is from RNAcentral.
CAAUAGCGUAUAUUAAAGUUGUUGCAGUUAAAAAGCUCGUAGUUGGAUUUGUGGUGUGUCCCUUUGGUGUCUUGGCUUAGCCUUGUUCACUGUUUGGGUCCGCCAUGUUUGGGUGGAAUCUGUGUGGCAUUAGGUUGUCGCGCAGGGGAUGCCCAUCGUUUACUGUGAAAAAAUUAGAGUGUUCAAAGCAGGCUUAUGCCGUUGAAUAUAUUAGCAUGGAAUAAUGAUAUAGGACCUUGGUACUAUUUUGUUGGUUUGCGCACUGAGGUAAUGAUUAAUAGGGACAGUUGGGGGUAUUCGUAUUCCAUUGUCAGAGGUGAAAUUCUUGGAUUUUUGGAAGACGAACUACUGCGAAAGCAUUUACCAAGGAUGUUUUCAUUAA